CUGAGGCUUUUUCUUGUAGCUUCAGACAAAUUAAAAACCUCCUUACCAGCCAUUCAUUCUGAGGAGGCCUCUUCCUUCCUCCGCAGGGGGGCUGCAGCGUUGGAAGGAGAUCGGAUUCUGGGAGGCUGGGCCUCCCGGGGCUCUCAAGGAGGGGGAGCCUGCAAGAAUGGAAAGAGAGAGGCCCUAACCCCGAAGAGAUUGGCAGCAGGUGACCUCUGCACAGGCCCCUGGAGGCGCCUUUGUUCUGGGGCAUUCUGCAGCCCGCCCCGCCCCCACCCCUUGCACCUGGGCAGCAGCCUCCGCAUGCACUUGUCCACCCUUGGCUGGCUCGCAAGGAGGGAUGGGCGGAUGCCUUUGUAUGUGAAAAGCCACGAGUCCUCCAACUCCUGGUUUCCCUUGGCUUGGCACAUUCACAGAUGCUUUUCCUGUUCACUCUGACAGCCACAGAAACCUACUCCCAGAGAAAAAUAGCUUAGCCUGCAACACUUGAUCUGGUAAGACAAGUCUGUGACUGAGACUACCAAGCGGGAGACCCUCGCUCUUCCUGGCGAGAGCCCCGCCCUGCAGAAACCCAGGUGUUCCCUGCUGAGUUCUAAUCCAAUCUCUCCGAGUUUGGCUAAUUUAAUUGCGUAAUGGUCCACACCUGAGACAUCCCCUUAACUCUCUUUAGGACAUUACUUAGCUUAAAAGAACUAAUGAGUAUUAAAGACCGGGACUUAGACUUGAAAGCUUUUACCAUCUCUAAAACAUCUGAGUCAAGCAGAAGAAACCUGAUUGGGGGGAGGGGGUGGCUUCCCAGUUAGAAAAAGCAACAAGAAGUAAUUAAAGUUCUUGCUAAGUGAGUCUGAAAUAUGUAUUUAGCUCUCGUAAAUUAAAUACCCUAGGUUUUUAAAGAGCGAUUUCCCCAAACAUCUAUUAUUCACAUCAGUAGGACAGACGGUAAGCCACUAGAAGAUUUAUAGAAACUAAAAGACUUCCUAUGCUAAAGGUUAAUGAAAGCGUAAUUUGAAUCAUGAAAUCUUUAUGUGUC
This 1030-nucleotide long non-coding RNA is filed under the name Equus caballus (horse). RNAcentral describes it as "lncRNA (ENSECAG00000050247.1)". The record is from RNAcentral. Lineage: Eukaryota; Metazoa; Chordata; Mammalia; Perissodactyla; Equidae.